Molecule: ribosomal RNA, 431 nt
Filed under: bacterium
Lineage: Bacteria
Description: bacterial SSU rRNA
Rfam family: Bacterial small subunit ribosomal RNA
Source: RNAcentral
GUGGGGAAUCUUCCGCAAUGGACGAAAGUCUGACGGAGCAACGCCGCGUGAGUGAAGAAGGUUUUCGGAUCGUAAAGCUCUGUCUUCAGGGACGAAUGUGUUUCUUGUGAAUAAUGAGAAAUAAUGACGGUACCUGAGGAGGAAGCCACGGCUAACUACGUGCCAGCAGCCGCGGUAAUACGUAGGUGGCGAGCGUUGUCCGGAAUUAUUGGGCGUAAAGAGCGCGUAGGCGGGAUAGCAAGUCUGUCGUAAAAGUGCGGAGCUCAACUCCGUGAGGUCGAUGGAAACUGUUAUUCUUGAGUGCAGGAGAGGAAAGUGGAAUUCCCAGUGUAGCGGUGAAAUGCGUAGAUAUUGGGAGGAACACCAGUGGCGAAGGCGACUUUCUGGACUGUGUCUGACGCUGAGGCGCGAAAGCCAGGGUAGUGAACGGG